AUGGUUGGCCCGCAGUACGACCUCGUCGGCAACCCCCUGGGCGCGGUGCGCGCCACCUUCGAGAGGGCGGCCGCGGCGGAGUCCGGGGGGCGCGACCCCGUGGCGGCGUUCCGGUCCAAGGACUGGGGCGCCAGCGAGGUGUUCCGCUCCUUCCUCUUCGAGCAGGGCGGCCUCGACAAGGUUCCAUUGUUGGAUGCAUCAAAUCUCGGAUUGAUCAAACCCAACACCCUCGUCCGGUUCCGGGGGAUGGUUCAGGACAUGCUCGGGAACGAGUUCUAUGCCGGCGCUUUCAAGGAUGGGUCUACCUGGAGGACGAACAAGUUUACAGAUUUCUCGCCAUUCGCUAUGCCACACCCGUGUGACUCGCAUCUCUGGGAGCGCCAUCUCUUCCAUUGCGUGCCGGUGCCUGGACAGAAUUCUUGGACACUCGAGUCUUCCCCUGGGCCUGACUUGCGCCAGAUGGCAAACUGCUUGACACCUGAACAAAGGGAGAAAAGGAAGAGGGAUGGAGAUGAUGUUGCCAUGGAUAAGGAAGAUGACGUCCAGAUCCCAUCUAGUUCAGCCGAGAUGCCAGCAAGUGAAAAUGUGCCACAGAUGAAUGGGAAUGAUCAUCAUAUUCCUGGAAGCUCUUUUUCAUGUCUAGUGAAGAUCUAUGAUAUGCCUGAAAGUCAAGUCAAACUAAAUGAUGUUGCUGAGUUCAUAGGGGUAUACACAUUUGACCCAGAACUUGCUGCUCCCAAUGAUAAUUCGGAUGAUAUAAUGUUUGAUCUCAUAGAAGAUGUAACAGCUCAGUUGCCUCCCAGCAAGGUGCCCCGUCUUCACUGUUUGGUGUGGCGAAAAUUAUCAUCUGUUGAUUUUCUAGCAAAGCAUCCUGCUGUUGAGCCUUUGCCAAGUCUACUAAAAGGCAUCCGGCAAUCUUUGCUCUCACAUCUCACUCUGGUAUUAGGGAAAGAUGACCUGGCAGCUAACUGUUUACUGCUGCAUCUUCUAUCCAGACUACGAACUAGGGUGGAUGUGGUCACCGUUGGCAGGCUCUCCUUGAAUUUCACUGGAUUUAACAGAGAAAGUGUUUCCAUUUUUGGAAAACAGCUAAAUACUUUGAUCCAGGGACUAAUGCCAUAUUCACAAGCUAUUCCUCUGUCAAUUGAGUAUCUCAACACAGCCACACUUCAACCUAGAAAGGACAACAAGUCAGGAAGGUUGGUUACAGGAGUUCUGCAGCUACCUCAAGGCGCUCACUUGACAUUUGAUGAAACUCUCUUGCAAUCUGGAUCUUUGGCAUCUAAAGGUGUUGAGAAUACUGUGCUGCUUAAGAACUUGAUGGAGUCACAGAUGGUUGAGUAUGAUUUUGAGUACUACAAGCUGGAGAUGGCGACCGAUGUGCAGCUACUUACUCUUUCCGAGGGAAAAUCCAACAUCCUGCCUUCAGACCUGGUAGUGCCUUUUCGUCCAUCCACUGUUUCUGCGGUGAAUGCAACUUCUGAGGAACUUGAGAGCUGGAGGUGGUACUUGGCCACAGUGAGGUCUCUUCCUCAGUCAUCUGAACCUGAGAUUUACCAGACGAUCCAAGAUGAAAUGGUCAGUGCCAUGCGCAACGACAGGAGCUUGGGUUGCACUGAACUUAGCAGAUGGCUGACAAUGGCUCAGAUUACAGCCUCAAGCUUUGGUGAGAAGAGCCUUUCCCUGGAGCACUGGCAGAUGGCGAAGGAGCUUGAGAGGCUUAGAAAGGAGAGGAUGCAAUGA
This 1743-nucleotide ribosomal RNA is filed under the name Triticum aestivum (bread wheat). Its description in RNAcentral is "partial small subunit ribosomal RNA". The record is from RNAcentral. Lineage: Eukaryota; Viridiplantae; Streptophyta; Magnoliopsida; Poales; Poaceae.